RNAcentral lists this unclassified non-coding RNA (383 nucleotides) under Ixodes scapularis (black-legged tick). RNAcentral describes it as "uncharacterized LOC121047554, transcript variant X2". The record is from RNAcentral. Lineage: Eukaryota; Metazoa; Arthropoda; Arachnida; Ixodida; Ixodidae.
UCGCACAUGCUGUUUGCAGGUAGCUUUCGUCUGACACUGGCUUAUUCUGAUCUCAGGUGCUCGUGCAAGAGGUGCGGCAUCAUGCCGACGCCUAAAGAGUGCAUCUGCUGCAGGGAGUGUCCCCCCGCGGUCGCGACUCGCCCGGGAGGGUGCAUCACGGAGCACAACAACUUCGCACCGAUCUGCCUCCAGCCCGGCGUGCUCGAAGUCGCGUUCUGGGCUCUGCAGGAGGCAGGUCGUCACCCGGCGCCGCGAGAACAGAAGCUUCGUUUUGCGGCCUAUCACCAAUUCGUGCGGUGGAUGUGGCGGAGGCUGGGACGUCGCAAUCGACGUGUUCUACCGGCCUGCGUGGUCAAGAGGAUCCACGAUGAAUUCCCUUCGGA